Molecule: long non-coding RNA, 1018 nt
Filed under: Marmota monax (woodchuck)
Lineage: Eukaryota; Metazoa; Chordata; Mammalia; Rodentia; Sciuridae
Source: RNAcentral
UCCCCCUGCCACCAUCACUCAUGUACACGCACUUCAUUUUCAUCUUCAAUAGAAAAGCGUCUGAAAAUUUAUACAUAUACAUAUAGACAUAUAUGUAUAUAUAUAAAAUGUGUAGAUUUUUUUGGCCUCAUCUUUGAUCCUGGGGAGGCACAGAAAAAUGAAAAUAUCGAAAUGGGGAAAAGUUACACUCUGGUUGUAUCAAGAAGAUAGAACUGGGCAGAAAAUGUGGGGAAAAGAAAAAGAAAGAAGGCCAAAUGAAAUAAUGAUGGUAUACCACCUUGCAUCCUGGGACACCUAGUAGGCGCUCCACCAGUGUUAGUUUGCUACACCCCCCUUUUCUUGUAUUCCCUCUUGCUGAUUUCCUGAAGUCCUAUUUGAGGACACUGCUUUAUUUCCCCCUCUCUAUCCUGUCAAAUUCACCUUAAACAACACCCAGCUAGAUACAGGCACUAGGUUUGUGUAAAAUAUGUUGAUACACACAAACAAAAUUUAUUUUGGCUAUAAUGUGUGAACUGAUGGUUGACUUUCAACAUUUGCAUUUUAUCUCACAAAGGUGUAUUUAUUCAAGUAAUCUUUUUUUGGUUGUUUGUUUCAAUUCAUGUAGCUAUUUAAACCGGGAUAUGCUGGGAUAUGCUCGACUAAGCAAUCAGCAUCCCGAUUCUCUAGCAGGCCUCUUAGUUGUGUGUGUGUGUGUGUGUGUGUGUGUGUGUUUCCUUCUAAUUUACAAGAAAGAGGAAAAGCUCUUCUAACUGAACUUUGGUAUGCGGUUGAGCUUUGUAACUAUUUGUUCUCCAUGAAAACAAAAUUAUUUAUAUUUGCCAUAUUUUUUCUAGUGUAUUAAGUUAUUUUAAACAAAAGAAGAUGCUGUUAUCUCAUGACGUGUUGUCAGUACAAAAUGUCUCAGCUCCACCUCUGUUAAACCUUUUAAAUAAGUGCCAAGUUAUUAAUCGAAGACACUUUGCGAUCAAUUGAAUGAAAAUAGCAUUGUUUCAUUUGAUGGGGUUCGCGUCAUCUUUGU